This 232-nucleotide ribosomal RNA is filed under the name uncultured bacterium. RNAcentral's name for it is "partial 16S ribosomal RNA". It matches the Rfam family "Bacterial small subunit ribosomal RNA", at positions 118 to 347 of the family's 1533-position model. The record is from RNAcentral.
UGAGCAAUCUGCCCUUCUCUUCGGAAUAAGCGUUGGAAACGACGUCUAAUGCCGAAUACGACCUCCUUUCGCAUGAUCGGAGGUGGAAAGCUCCGGCGGAGAAGGAUGAGCUCGCGGCCUAUCAGCUAGUUGGUGUGGGUAAUGGCCCACCAAGGCGACGACGAGUAGCCGGCCUGAGAGGGUGACCGGCCACACUGGGACUGAGACACGGCCCAGACUCCUACGGGAGCAG